Molecule: ribosomal RNA, 695 nt
Filed under: Pichia deserticola
Lineage: Eukaryota; Fungi; Ascomycota; Pichiomycetes; Pichiales; Pichiaceae
Description: LSU rRNA
Rfam family: Eukaryotic large subunit ribosomal RNA (bases 84-695)
Source: RNAcentral
GCCCGGCCACGGCCCCGCCGAAAAGAAACGAGGCCACGAGCGAACUAGAACAGGACGCUUGGGGUCUCCGAGCACUAUGAGCUCGACCUCAGAUCAGGUAGGAAUACCCGCUGAACUUAAGCAUAUCAAUAAGCGGAGGAAAAGAAACCAACAGGAUUGCCUCAGUAGCGGCGAGUGAAGCGGCAAGAGCUCAGAUUUGAAAUCGUGUUUCGGCACGAGUUGUAGAGUGUAGCGGGAGUCUCUGUGGAGCGCGGUGUCCAAGUCCCUUGGAACAGGGUGCCUGAGAGGGUGAGAGCCCCGUGGGGUGCUGCGCGAAGCUUUGAGGCCCUGCUGACGAGUCGAGUUGUUUGGGAAUGCAGCUCUAAGCGGGUGGUAAAUUCCAUCUAAGGCUAAAUACUGGCGAGAGACCGAUAGCGAACAAGUACUGUGAAGGAAAGAUGAAAAGCACUUUGAAAAGAGAGUGAAACAGCACGUGAAAUUGUUGAAAGGGAAGGGUAUUGGGCCCGACAUGGGGAGUGCGCACCGCUGUCUCUUGUAGGCGGCGCUCUGGGCGCUCUCUGGGCCAGCAUCGGUUCUUGCUGCGAGAGAAGUGGCGCCGGAAAGUGGCUCUUCGGAGUGUUAUAGCCGGUGCCGGAUGUCGCGUGCGGGGACCGAGGGCUGCGACAUCUGUCUCGGAUGCUGCACAACGGCGCAAU